This 269-nucleotide ribosomal RNA is filed under the name uncultured bacterium. Its description in RNAcentral is "partial 16S ribosomal RNA". It matches the Rfam family "Bacterial small subunit ribosomal RNA", at positions 15 to 263 of the family's 1533-position model. The record is from RNAcentral.
GAUCCUGGCUCAGGACGAACGCUGGCGGCGCGCUUAACACAUGCAAGUCGAGCGAUGAAAUCUUAACAGAACCCUUCGGGGCGAAGAUAAGACGGAUUAGCGGCGGACGGGUGAGUAACACGUGAGUAACCUGCCUUUUACACAGGGAUAGCCUCGGGAAACCGGGAUUAAAACCUGAUGAAACUAUCAAAUCACAUGAUUAAGAAAGUUAAAACUCCGGUGGUAAAAGAUGGACUCGCGUCCCAUUAGCUAGUUGGUGAAGGUAACGG